Molecule: long non-coding RNA, 5167 nt
Organism: Oncorhynchus masou masou (cherry salmon)
Lineage: Eukaryota; Metazoa; Chordata; Actinopteri; Salmoniformes; Salmonidae
Exons: 2
Source: RefSeq, a predicted model, not a curated record
UUAACCAGGUAGCGUCGCCGUGAGCUCCGGGAAACUUGAGCCGAGUCUUCACGACUUAAACCUGUUGAGUUGAUUUUUGGGGUUCUUCGCCUCCUCGUUGGGUGUCUAGUCAAGCCGAGCUAAUUCACAUCUUUUUCCAAGCAAACAUCGAAGAGUUGGUCUCUCUGUGAGAGGAGGGAAGAGGAAGACAUAUCUAUGAGGCAGCAGCCAGCAGCCACAGCCAGGCAACAUGAUGCCUCUUUCUGGCCCACUUGACCACACCUGGGAAGGACAGGGCCUGCAGCCCUGGUGUAUAAUGCUGAUGAUUAACUAAAUAGAGGCUGCAGCAGUCUGUGAGAGCAGGGCGGCUUAGCUUUCUCAUUUCAUGGGCCCUGACUGACUGACCGGGAAGAAGCUGAAGUGUUCGCAGGCGCUGGCUGCUAAAAGUUCAAGAUCUUUUCCUUUAACCCCCCACCCCCUUCACUAACUUGGUUUUGUUGCAUUCUUUCCUUUUGGGUUCCUUUUCACGACGGUAAGGUUACAGGUACAUUCUCCACCUCUCUUCACUGCCUGUUCUUUUCCCUCCCUUAUGCUCUCUCUCUCUCUACCUUUCUCAUUCACUCACACUCUUCCAUUUAGCUCAUUUGCAGGAUGACGGGAAACCUAUUCUUUCCCUCUGAACACAGGAUUGUCUUGAUUCUAGUUUUGUUUCAGGUUUAGAGAAAAAAAUAGCAAAAAAAUAGUUAACAUUAAUAGAUAUCAAUAUUAGUGUAACUAUUGCUGACUUACUGUACCAAGUCUCAAUAAAAUUAGAACGAGUUAUAGCAGUUAUUUGACAAUGCACAAUGCAAAUAGUUUGUUGCCACUUUGAUUGUUGAGUUAUUGUACAUAUUUGAGUGGCUGAUCAGUCUUGUGUCACUAUUUUAAGUGGCUAACUAACUAAGGAAUACUAGUAUAUAUUAUAUAUGAGUCUUUAUCUUACAUAAAUAUAAAUAAUUAGCAUGCAGCAUUGUGCCACUUCUAAUGAGUGUGAUGCUUUCACACUGUGUACCUGUGAAUAGCCCACGUUUUUCAGUAAACAAAAGCUGUCUCAAUGACCUUCUGCACACACUGCAUAGGCACAGGCUAGGUCAGUCCAGCGUUCCUCCAGGCUUUCAACACACUACAAACACAAAGAAAGGAGGUACAGGAAAAGGGAAGGCAUUCAUUUCCCCUUCGUUUUCAACAUUUCAUCAAAUGACUGUUGAAAUGAAUAUGACAUGACAUACAUUGUGCUACCUGUGCUACCAUCUUCAGGGACAUGAAAUGUGAAUACGGAACAACAAACCCAAGGCCUUGUUGCUUUCGUUUUGAGUAUGAAAAAUGCAGUGGGUUUUGUCAAGAAUGGAUGUUAUUAAAGCAGUGGUCCAAAAAAUACCCAAUUGUCAUACUUGAGUAAAAGUAAAGAUACAUUAAUAGAAAAUGACUGAAGUGAAAGUCACCCAGCAAAAUACUACUUGAGUAAAAGUCUAAAAGUAUUUGGUUUUAAAUAUACUGAAGUAUAUUUAUUUAAGGAUUGCCAGGGGCACAAUCCAACACUCAGACAUGAUUUACAAACAAAGCAUUUGUGUUGAGUGAGUCCGCCAGAUCAGAGGCAGUAGGGAUGACCAGGGAUAAUAUAUAUAUAUAAUUUUCAGAAUGAGGGGAAAAAGCAGCCUUACCGUUUCGUAGAACCAGACCAGUCAGAACAGGUUUGGCCAAUCAUUAACAUCCACUGUGGCCCACUCUUCUGUGGCAGAACCUAACCUACAGUCCCUACCAGAACAAAGUCUGCCGUACAACAAGUUCUAUUUUUUUUGUUUCGAGGCGAGUUUCAAAUACGUUGUUUCCCCCCACUUCAUCUCUUGUUUAAGACCUGGGGGUUAGGUGAUAAAUUGAACUUGCUAUUGUUAGUUUGAGUUUGAGAUAGUAGAGUCCACCCAUAGUAGAGUCCACCCAAGGCCACAAUUUGUUGAGUUAACUGAAGUGGAGUUCUAAUGGAUAUUGAUGAUGAGUUGCAUGUGUGCCUGGAGAGGGGGUAUACUUGAUUUUAUAUUAUUAUAGUUUCUCCUUUCUGUGGUAAAUACAGAUGUAGCUUCAGAGAUGUGAAAGACAGGCCUUCUAAUGAUAAUUUGCAUUACCAGUCAGGGUUGCCUACUGUUUAGUACACCUCUUUCUUUUCAUAGUGGAAUGUUCCUGAAGUCUCAGUUAUGCACAUAGGUGGGGCUUAUCCCCACACAAACCUACCCAAAGCAAGGUUAGCCUUUUAUCAAUUUUUUUGUCAGUGAAAACCAGGAGAUAACACAACACAUUAAACAAAAUGAACCUGUAUUGUAAAAUGCUUAGACGAAAAUAUUAUUACUUCGAUCCGUACACUUAUUGUGAUCUGUAAAAUAAUCACUUUUAUGACCCAUUGUUUGUCUCCUAUGCAUGUAUUGGAUGGUCAUCCCCAUCUUACAAGGCAGCAUUGGAUAUCAUCAAUCUCUCUAAUACUGCCUGGUAAUGAUGAUGCUAGCCAUCCUCUAACUACAGUGAUAUACCACACAACUUACAACGUUAGCUAGCUACCAUAGCUUGGCGGCCAUUUUUUCUCUCAAUGAAAUGCUCUGGUUUACGCUGAAAUGGCUUUCAGGAUCCAUCUUACCUGACAGUGCUGGAUUGUACCAAAAAGUUCUAACACUGUCUGGUAACGAUGUUUCCUGGGUGACCCACCUACCUCCAGAGAUACACCUCAGCUAAGGAUGUGCUUAAAGGGUCAGGUGUGACCACUUGAUGAAAGCACACCAUAGACAAUACCUGAUCAGAUUAUCUGUAGUGUUAGAACUCCAGUUUGAACUCUGUAUCUUUCUUCAAGGAUUUGAUAUCUGAUAUCGUCACUGAUAAGAAGACUUGGUUUAGGGUUGAAUCUAUCUGUAAGAGAUUGUCUUAAAUCUUCUUCUAUUGACACGCCUUUAUUCCGCUAGCUAAAACUAUACAUCUGAAAGAAGCUCCAUUUUACCUCGUUGUUUAUUUGUAGAAAAGAUAGGCCUAUGAAGUGCUUAUUUUGUGAAUUGUAUUGGGAAAAUAUUUGGCUAUCCAAGUAAUUGAAAUUUCUCAGUGUUCCUCAGUUAAGAAUCAACUCAAAGAAAUGGAGAAGAUUAGAGGCAUGACUGGCAAUGUCCUUUCCCUGGGGAACAAGUAGAGGAGACCCAGCAUAUGUAAUUCCACUUCCCUGUCCUGUUCUAGGGUAGCCCCACCCAACCUGUGUUAAAGAAUACAGGUCGGUUGACGGUUCAACCGGUCGCACCGCCACUCAUUUUCGUAUCACCUCCCCUCUGUAGCGUGUGGCUUGUGUUGUGUCACCGUGAUUGGUCCAGCACCGCUUAUCUACAUGGCACAUCCUGAAACUGACACAAGCUCACCUGAGCACUUAUGAUCAAAAUAGACUCAGCAACAUCCUCCUUGACUCCUUACUACUCCCCUUCAGCCUCACCUCUCUCUCAUCCCUUCAUAUGAAUGAUUACUCUUUUUUAUCACAGCUAAAUAUAUCCCACAGCUCUAUCUGUAGUGCCUUUUGUUGUUUUACAAGGCUUCAUUGGAGAACUUUUGUUCCAAUUAGAAUUUUAGAAUUCUGUUGAAUUUGUUUCAUAAACAAAUUAUAAAUAGCCAUAGACUUAAAUGAGUUGAUCUCUUAUGGCAAACUACUACCCCGUUCCAUGUCGUCUUCCAGGCAGAAAAAUACAUCCCAAUUUAAUAGGUAAGGCCUUCAAACAGACAGCACAGACAUUGGCAAAUAAUAAAAGGAGCUGGCAGAGCCUAAAUGUUUGUUUAAGGAGGGAGAAUUACCUCGCAAAUAUUGAACCAUACCUUUAUUGGCUCACCUCCUGUUGUUUGCCUUUAUUUAUGACAUAGACACACAGAAUGGUUCAAUGUUUUUUCCCUUUUCACCCCCUCUCCUUUCCAAACGGUUAAAAAGACAAUUUGAUGUUGUACUGAACCCAAAUGUGGCAUAUUUAUUUAAUUUGCGGUGAGAGGGCACCACAUUUUGAUGUGAACUUUCAACCAACAGGAUCUAGUUUGUCUUUAUUCAUGGAAAAUCAUUGUAAAUGUACUCCAUAUAACAUAGUCUUUGAGAAUAUGAAAACGAUAGAGUAGUAUCCCUGUCUGUGUGUGAGACAGACAAACAGACGAACAGACAGACAGACAUACUGUAUCUUUUCAGCCUGUCUCUUCCUGUAUCUCAUCCUGUCUCUUUCAGCUGUCUCCCUCUUCGUACAGUGGACGGUUGGUUCAGAGGGCGUCCUUCAGUCCUAGCUCCCUAGCCUGUUGAUUGGCGUCUUACCAGACAUGGUUAGAUCUAAAUAUCCCUGUCUAAUACUGUCUGGUAAUGCCGUCCAUUGAAUGGCGUUUACUUCUCUUUUUCCUCUCUCCUUCUUGUACAGAAGUUUGAGCAUGGCCAUCAGAUUUCUUGGUGUGUAUGACCUCUUAGGCUUCUUCUAUGUUAAUGUGUGUAUACAGUGUGUUUGUGUGUGUAUAUGACCAGUGCAUAGACACAUUGGUUGAAGUGACAGAUGGAUUGGGGUGUAUUCACUAUGGUCAUGAAGAUACUGACAAUACAGGAACUAUGAACCUUGCACUGGAAGAUUGAUUCAGUUAUCAGUGCUCUUCCAUGUGCCAUGUGUCAGAGUUUAUUCCUUAAGCAACGGCCCAGGAAGGCCAAAGAAAUACAGCAUUUUGGGAUAUACACAUAUGUGAUGCCAUAAGUAGUAAUUAAAGUAAUUAAAAUGCUUUAAAGUAAUUAAAAUGCUUUAAGGUGCUUUUAAAUCUCGCUCUGUGUGUGUGUUCAUAAAUAUACUGUAUCAAAUAUUUUAUAUUUAAACGGAUGUAAUAUUAUCUUCAUGUAAUAAAGCAUUUAGAACAUAAUUUAUUCAACUUUUAAAAGAAAGAUGUGUGUGUUCGUCACGGCGUCAUGGUUACUAAAUUCCAAAUAGGAACAUUGUCGGGAAUUUGACAUUUCUCCAGGUACAGUAAAUUAAAAAACUAUAAAUGAAUCCAUUAUUGAUCGAAUUUAUCUAUAAAUACUGUCUAUACUACAGCCAAGCGAUAGAUACACAUAUAUAUUUUCACCAACAUUAUGUAAUAUGACAUGACAAUAUCAAAUAAACUUGAAAUAAAACAAUAUUUGACUUUG